GACGAACGCUGGCGGCGCGCCUAACACAUGCAAGUCGAACGGAGUUUGAGAGAGCUUGCUUUUUCAAACUUAGUGGCGAACGGGUGAGUAACGCGUGAGUAACCUGCCCUGGAGUGGGGGACAACAGUUGGAAACGACUGCUAAUACCGCAUAUGCUUACACUAUCACAUGAUAGAGUGAGGAAAGGAGUAAUCCACUAGUAGAUGGGCUCGCGUCUGAUUAGCUAGUUGGUGGGGUAAUGGCCUACCAAGGCGACGAUCAGUAGCCGGACUGAGAGGUUGAACGGCCACAUUGGGACUGAGAUACGGCCCAG
This 313-nucleotide ribosomal RNA is filed under the name uncultured bacterium. RNAcentral's name for it is "bacterial SSU rRNA". It matches the Rfam family "Bacterial small subunit ribosomal RNA", at positions 28 to 334 of the family's 1533-position model. The record is from RNAcentral.